This 121-nucleotide ribosomal RNA is filed under the name Petromyzon marinus (sea lamprey). Lineage: Eukaryota; Metazoa; Chordata; Hyperoartia; Petromyzontiformes; Petromyzontidae. The record is from RNAcentral.
GCAUGUGACCAAAUCUCCCAGAAUGAGCCCAAUUUCAUCAUAUUUCAGAAGCUAUGCAGAGAUGAGCCUGGAUCGUGCUUGGAUGGGCGACCACCGUGCAUAAAAACAGGCACUGUAGGCU